GGAAAGAUCCACGGCAGAAAUGUUUGGAAUUUUUCCGAGUUGUGAAGGUAUCGUGCCAUUUAUGAAGUUACGGCUUAAAUCAAGUUGUCUCAAAAAUAUAAGGUUGCCUAUCUCCGAUGGAAUGCUUCCGCUUAAACUGUUGUGGCUUAAUACCAAGUUCAGUAACUGCGAGCAAUUCAUGAGUUCUGGAGGAAUGGAGCUGCUGAGCUGAUUAUAACCAAGAUUUAAAGAGGUGAGGUUGGUUAAAUAACCAAUUGUUGGAGGAAUGGGUCCAAUUAGAUUGUUCCCGUCAAGGGACAGAGAAUCAAGAUACUUCAGAUUUCCAACUUCCCGAGGCAGCAGACCACUAAGUUGGUUUGAAGAAAGAUCCAGAGAUGUUAAUUUGGUUAAAUUUCCUAUGGUCGGUAGAAUUGGACCAUUAAGUCUGUUGUGAGACAAGUCCAACUCAUCCAACAAGUUUAAAUAACCAAUGGUCGAAGGAAUAGAUCCAGUGAGAUUGUUCCUAUUCAGAAGCAAACGAUCAAGAUUCUUCAGAUUUCCAACUUCUUUAGACAGUGGACCAACAAGAUUGUUGUAAGCCAAGUACAAAAUGCUUAACUGAUUUAAAUGAUAAAGUGUUGAAGGAAUAGGCCCAGUUAGAUGGUUAUUAUCCAGAAACAGAGCGUCAAGAUUCUUCAGAUUUCCAACUUCUUGAGGCAGCCGACCACUAAGUUGGUUUAAAGAAAGGUCCAAAUGUGUCAAGUUAGUUAAAUUACCUAUGCUCGAUGGAAUUAGACCAUCCAGUUUGUUACCCUGCAACCUCAGUUCAUCAAGAUCCUUCAAAUUCCCAAAUUCUAAUGGGAUAGAACCAUUGAGAAUGUUAUUAGACAGAUCCAGUUUGAGAAGAUUCCUCAAACUCCCAAUCUCCGCGGGGAUAGUACCUAUCGUGUGUAUAUAUAUGCAUAUGAUUAAUUAACGAUAAAUAAGCAAUAAUAUCCGGUACAGAUAGGAAAUUAUUGUAUAUGCAAUGAAAUUAUAUAUAAUGGUUACCUGUAAGACUGUUAUCGGACAGGAAAAGCUCCUCGAGUUUUGAAAGAGCACCAAUUUCUGAUGGCAUCCUUCCUGAAGAAAAAAAGGAAAACAAAAAUAAUGUGUAUGAUUAAUUAAUGAUAAAUGAGCAAUAUUAUCCAGCACCGAUAGGAAAUUAUUGUAUAUGCAAUGAAAUUAUAUAUAAUGGUUACCUGUAAGACUGUUAUAGGACAAGUGAAGCUCCUCGAGUUUUGAAAGAGCACCAAUUUCUGAUGGCAUCCUUCCUAACGAAAAAAAGGAAAAAAAAUAAUGUGUAUGAUUAAUUAAGGAUAAAUGAGCAAUAUUAUCCAGUACGGCUAGGAAAAUAAUGUGUAUGCAUUGAAAUUAUAUAUAAUAGUUACCUGUAAGACGGUUAGAGGACAGGUCAAGCACUUUGAGUCUUGAAAGAGCACCAAUUUCUGAUGGUAUCCUUCCGGAAAGAAGAGUGCCCCGAAUGCUGAAAGUUACGAGGUUGGGAAAGCAAGUGAAGUUGAGUUGGCUAAGCUCUGCUCCGGUGAAAUUAUUAUCCAUCUCGUCAGAACUUAUCCAGACUACGCUUCCUGCUGAAUUGCAAGUGAUUCCUAUCCACUUGCAAUGAUCUGAAGUAUAGUUGGCCGUCGCCCGACUGCUAUUCCACCAGCCUGAAUUAAGUAAAGCUUCCCUUUCUAACUGUAUGGCUGACGAUGCAGCAGAUGCUGUUACAACUGCAUUAUCAGUUAUAACAGGAACAAUAAUACUGCUUAUAAAAGUUAUAAUGACCACCAAUUUUGAAAUGGAGGAAUCCGGUGCCAUUUUUA
Molecule: long non-coding RNA, 1844 nt
Filed under: Citrus maxima (pomelo)
Lineage: Eukaryota; Viridiplantae; Streptophyta; Magnoliopsida; Sapindales; Rutaceae
Description: long non-coding RNA (CMAX_LNC000519)
Source: RNAcentral